This is a non-coding RNA of Paralichthys olivaceus (Japanese flounder), 256 nucleotides long. The record is from RefSeq and is a predicted model, not a curated record. Lineage: Eukaryota; Metazoa; Chordata; Actinopteri; Pleuronectiformes; Paralichthyidae.
AAGAAAACGUGAGAGCCAGGAGGAGCUUGAAACUCCUGACUGUGUAGCCGUCAACACCCUCAUGGAAAAGAGGCGGAGGUAGCUGUCAGAGGACAAGCAGGAGAAAUAUAAUCAUGACGUAAAGAGGCUGAGGCAGCUUCACAACCACAUCUACCCAGAUUGGUCAGCAAAGGAAAAUGAUGGCCAAAAGUGGAAAAGGAUCAGGAAGAGGCUCCAGAGAUGACUGAGGGUACGUUAAUAAUCAUGUGGAUAAGUG